RNAcentral lists this long non-coding RNA (2989 nucleotides) under Felis catus (domestic cat). Its description in RNAcentral is "lncRNA (ENSFCAG00000042607.2)". Lineage: Eukaryota; Metazoa; Chordata; Mammalia; Carnivora; Felidae. The record is from RNAcentral.
CAGUUGGCUGUCCUGAGUUUUCGAGUCCCUUGGAAGGAUUCUGGGGAGUUGGCCGAUUGGCUGCAGACCCGAGCUCAUCUGACGAUGUGAACAGCCUCCUGAGACCUACAGGAAUGUGAUGACAUCAGUCGUUGUCCCCCUAGCUGGUCCACUUUAGCUCAUGGUAUCCUCUGACGACUUCCCUGGAAGGAGACGCUCCCUUACAGAUGGGGAAGCUGGGCCUUUUGGCUGAAGUCAUUGAUUCCUGAGGUCACACAGUUGUAGGUGAGCUGGGAUUACUCAGUGGCCUGGCCGGGUGUGGGCACCUGUGGAUCCUGGUGGGGGUGUGGGCUGCUCAGCGCUGGGUGACCACAGCGGGACUGAUGUGCAAGGCCAGGGUACUGUGGGUUCUUACCCGUCGGGCCUCCCUCCACAUUUGGGUUUGCAGGGGUCCUGACUCCUAACUCCGGGCGUGUCCACGUGAGGGGGGAAGAUCACUAAACUCUGUCAACAUGAUGGGGAUUUUUAAGAACAUCCUUGCUCAGGCCUGGGGUUGCUAUGUUUCUGUGUUCUUGGCUCACUGUGUUUUCCUGGAAAAAUAAAUAAAAAACACUGGCCAAUAGGUUUAUUGCCAUAUAUCAUUCGUGACAAAGAUGGUUAUCUUUCUUAGUUACUAAUCACCUUGGGAUUUCUAAUGUUUAUUUAUUUUUGAGAGAGAUAGAGCAUGAGUGGGGGAGGGGCAGAGAGAGAGGGAGACACGGAAUCUGAAACAGGCUCCAGGCUCCGAGCUGUCAGCACAGAGCCUGACGCGGGGCUCGAACCCACAACCUGUGAGAUCGUGACCUGAGCCGAAGUCGGACACUUAACCGACGGAGCCCCCCAGGUGCCCCAGUCAUCUUGGGGUUUCUAGAUGUGCUCACGUUUGGGCCCCAAGACGUGGUGUUGUCAGGGGCUCUCUCUUCAGGAGAAAGGCCACGGGGUCCAUAAACCCUGAGACCGGGUUGGGGGCCCUGGGGGAGGCUGGAGAGGAGUGAGGACUUGAGGAGCAGCCGUGAGAUUAGUUUUUCUUUUCCUCUGCACCCGGAACAGGGCAGAAGGUGUCAGGACAGACACGGGUGGCGGCCCCCCUGUUCCGGGUGCUCACUGUUGAGCCCGUUUGACCUGCUGACCUCGUGUUACACACGAGGAAAUGGAAGUCCUCCAAGGCGAAACAACACCCAGGCGCCAGCCCGGAAGGCAGCCACGCUCUCCGGAAUCCAGAGCCUGCCCCGCUCUUCUUCUCCUACUGACCACAGAUCCACCGAUGGAGGAGGGAGACACUCUCUGAGGACAGCCCCGCUCCAGUGACGUAAAUUCCUGCCUAGUAUUCGGGCUUCCUUUUGCUGGAAUUACGAGAAACUCGUGACACCUGUAAGGGGCUGCCUGGUACCUUUCCUGCGACAGUUUCCAGCAGGGAUGGGACAGGGAAGGAAAGGAGAUCGCCAUCUGUGGGUCUCCAUCAGACGUGGACCCUGGCCUAGGUACCCACGCACCAGCUAACAAUUGGCUUUGACCUCAGAUCUGGGCUGUCUUGUGGCACUAAGUCGCAGACUUGCCAGCUGGCUUAUACGAUGGCCGGUCAACUGUGUAUAAUCCCACAGAUGUGGACCCAGCAGAACCACCCGGCUACGGCUUGUCGCUGAGCGCACAACUGGGCUUGGACAGAGUCAGUUUAGAUGACAGCUGUGUGAAAGAUCACAUAGCAGUUUGCACAUGGGCAGUGGGCAAAUUCUCACAGUCCAGGGGCUGGGCUAGCUGUGCAGGCUCAGACAACAAAUCGCAAAUCCCUCUCUCUGGGGUAGACUCACAUUAACCACGCUCAUGGCACUGAUGUCUAUGCUGGAUGUCAGUUUGUUAUUUUACAAUGAGAACUCCAUCUGUCGAAGGGUCUAGAGGGCUGAGUCCUCGGCUUACCCUAUUCUGUGCGGAGAAAUCUACCUGGCAAACGGUUGAUCUUAAUCCAACGGUUGCCUGGUGACUGUGGGAUCAGAGCCAGGGAGCACGUUAGCAGAUUUGAAUGCUUAGUGACAUUAGGUUUCCAUGCAUUUCUUCCCCCGAUGUGUUGUGAGAGGCGCUUGCCAUCGGGACUGGAGAAUUAAAGCCCAUUCCUCAGACAGACCUGUUUCUCUUCUGGCUCCCUGUUGUUCUGGGUUUCUGUGGCUGAAAGCUUCUCUGCUCUAAAGAAUCAUUUUCUUUCGUUAUGAGACUUGUUUCACAGGCUGUCUUGACUUUCUCACUAUUUCACUUACAUCGUGGCUGUUCUGAUCUCCAGGCUAAUGGUGUUUCCUGUAAAAUUGCCUGAGUUUCUCAGCACACUGUAAAAAAUGACUUCUGGGGUUUCACUGGGGUUACGUCUGCCAUUGGUAGUUCUUUGUUUUGGGGGGAUUGGUUCUUAGUUCCUCUUUUCUGACCUUGCUUGUCGCUGCUCAGCCUGUAGGAAGGCCUACAAAAGGCUUGAGUGGGAAAUGUGCCUGCCCCUGUACAGGGCUGUGACACCAGCGUGAGCAGUUGUAAGGGCAGAUGCAGCUUUAUCGGGCUUAUUCUUUUUAGGCUCCUGUUUAAGAUGAAAGUACAAAAUGUAAAAUGUAGUAUUAGGCACAAAAAAUAACUACUUUUUGUUUUACAUUUAUUUUUUGGAGAAAGAGAGAGCAAGCAGGGGAGGGGCAGAGAGAGAGAGGGAGAGAGAGAAUCCCAGCAGGCUUCACUCUGUCAGCACAGAACCCAACGUGGGGCUCAAUCUCAUGACCACAAGGUCAUGACCUGAGCCAACAGCAAGAAGCAGAUGCUUAACUGACUGAGCCACUGAGGCACCCUCAAAACGACUACUUAUUUAAAAAGGACCUGGGGGGUGGGAGGGAGGGGAGGGUGGGUGAUGGGUAUUGAGGAGGGCACCUUUUGGGAUGAGCACUGGGUGUUGUAUGGAAACCAAUUUGACAAUAAAUUUCAUAUAUUGAAAAAAUAAAAAUAAAAA